AAACUUAAAGGAAUUGACGGGGAGCACCGACAACGGGUGGAGCUUGCGGUUUAAUUGGAUUCAACGCCGGAAAUCUUACCGGGACCGACAGCAAUAUGAAGGCCCAGGCUGAAGACUUUGCCGGAUUAGCUGAGAGGUGGUGCAUGGCCGUCGUCAGUUCGUACUGUGAAGCAUCCUGUUAAGUCAGGCAACGAGCCGAGACCCACGCCCACAGUUGCCAGCGUACUCUCUGGAGUGACGGGUACACUGUGGGGACCGCCGCUGGCUAAAGCGGAGGAAGGAAUGGGCAACGGUAGGUCAGUAUGCCCCGAAUAUCCCGGGCUACACGCGAGCUACAAUGGUUGGUACAAUGGGUAGUCUACCCCGAAAGGGGACGGGAAUCUCCUAAAACCAAUCUUAGUUCGGAUUGAGGGCUGCAACUCGCCCUCAUGGAGCUGGAAUCCGUAGUGAUCGCGUUUCAACAGAACGCGGUGAAUACGUCCCUGCUCCUU
Molecule: ribosomal RNA, 491 nt
Filed under: uncultured Methanosarcina sp.
Lineage: Archaea; Methanobacteriati; Methanobacteriota; Methanomicrobia; Methanosarcinales; Methanosarcinaceae
Description: bacterial SSU rRNA
Rfam family: Archaeal small subunit ribosomal RNA
Source: RNAcentral